UGCCAGCAGCCGCGGUAACACGGGGGGCGCAAGCGUUAUUCGGAAUUAUUGGGCGUAAAGGGCGCGCAGGCGGUCUUGUCAGUCAGGUGUGAAAGCCCUGGGCUCAACCCAGGAACUGCAUUCGAAACUGGCCAGCUUGAGUUCGGGAGAGGGAGGUGGAAUUCCUGGUGUAGAGGUGAAAUUCGUUGAUAUCAGGAGGAACACCGGCGGCGAAGGCGGCCUCCUGGCCCGAUACUGACGCUCAUGUGCGAAAGCGUGGGGAGCAAACAGGAUUAGAUA
RNAcentral lists this ribosomal RNA (279 nucleotides) under uncultured bacterium. RNAcentral's name for it is "partial 16S ribosomal RNA". It matches the Rfam family "Bacterial small subunit ribosomal RNA", at positions 506 to 784 of the family's 1533-position model. The record is from RNAcentral.